CCUUCCGUUUACUGCCGGAGUUGCAGCUUUGGCAGCCUCGUCGCCGCCCAGUGGGGUGACCUCCCCUUCCGCCUCGACGACUCCGACGACAUGGUCGUCUAUGGCGCCCUCCGGGACGCCUACUCCCACGGCUGGAACCCCUCCCCCGAAGCCGGUCCCGUCACCGCCUCCGCCGUUGUCGUCAAAUCGGAGCCCGUUACCGAGCUGCCUCCACCGACGCCGGCGCUAGCGAUUCAGGUGCCUCCGGCACAGCCCGCGCCAGAGGCACCGGCAGCGCCGGCGGCGCCGGCGAAGGGGAAGCACUACAGAGGGGUGCGGCAGCGGCCGUGGGGGAAGUUCGCGGCGGAGAUCCGAGAUCCGGCGAAGAACGGGGCGAGGGUUUGGCUGGGGACGUUCGAAACGGCGGAGGAGGCCGCCAUCGCCUACGACAAAGCUGCCUAUCGGAUGCGCGGCUCCCGCGCGCUCCUCAACUUCCCGCUCCGGAUCAGCUCGGAGGCGGCCGCGGCACCGGCGGUGGUGUCUCCGUCGAAGCGGGCCUCGCCGGAGCCCUCUUCCACCUCCUCCGCCUCUUCCUCUCCCCGCUCCCCCUCGUCGUCGUCGUCUUCCUCGUCGGCGAAGGCGUCGCCGAAGAGGAGGAAGAAAGGGGAGGCCGCGGCGGCGGCGAUGGCGAUGGCGAUGGCGAUGCCUCCGGUAGCGGCGGCCCCCAUGCCUCUCUCUUCUUCUCCGGUUCCGGUUCAAGCGCAGGCCGGUCUGGGUUUCGGGAACCGGACGGAGAGUUUCUCGGUUGGGCCUGUCGUCCAAUUUAC
This 806-nucleotide long non-coding RNA is filed under the name Elaeis guineensis (African oil palm). Its description in RNAcentral is "long non-coding RNA (EGUI_LNC011146)". Lineage: Eukaryota; Viridiplantae; Streptophyta; Magnoliopsida; Arecales; Arecaceae. The record is from RNAcentral.